This 192-nucleotide ribosomal RNA is filed under the name uncultured bacterium. RNAcentral's name for it is "partial 16S ribosomal RNA". It matches the Rfam family "Bacterial small subunit ribosomal RNA", at positions 335 to 524 of the family's 1533-position model. The record is from RNAcentral.
ACUCCUACGGGAGGCAGCAGUAAGGAAUAUUGGUCAAUGGACGCAAGUCUGAACCAGCCAUGCCGCGUGGAGGAUGAAGGUCCUCUGGAUUGUAAACUUCUUUUAUCUGGGAAGAAACCCACAAUUUCCAUUGUGGUUGACGGUACCAGAUGAAUAAGCACCGGCUAACUCCGUGCCAGCAGCCGCGGUAAU